RNA transcript from Homo sapiens (human), 3866 nucleotides. It is a transcript of the gene named DIS3 like 3'-5' exoribonuclease 2, with no coding region annotated. Lineage: Eukaryota; Metazoa; Chordata; Mammalia; Primates; Hominidae. The transcript is spliced from 19 exons. The record is from RefSeq and is marked reviewed.
AUUCUCCUUAGCAACUGCGGGACUGCGGCGGCGCCGGCCUCCGGGGAGAAACGCGAAUGACAACAGAGCUGCUCAAGGCGGGAACUCUGAGCUAAGCAGUGGAGGUUUCUCUGGAUCUGGAGAGAAGAGUGACCUUGGAGCCAAUAAUGAGCCAUCCUGACUACAGAAUGAACCUCCGGCCCCUGGGGACCCCCAGAGGUGUGUCUGCUGUGGCUGGUCCACAUGACAUUGGUGCUUCGCCAGGUGACAAAAAGUCAAAGAACAGGUCCACACGAGGGAAGAAAAAGAGCAUAUUUGAAACUUACAUGUCCAAGGAGGAUGUUUCAGAAGGCUUGAAGAGAGGAACACUCAUCCAGGGUGUAUUGAGAAUUAAUCCAAAGAAGUUUCAUGAAGCCUUCAUUCCUUCCCCGGAUGGUGAUCGAGACAUUUUUAUUGAUGGGGUUGUUGCUCGUAAUAGAGCCUUAAAUGGGGAUCUGGUGGUCGUGAAACUGCUUCCCGAGGAGCAUUGGAAGGUAGUUAAACCAGAGAGCAAUGACAAAGAAACAGAAGCUGCGUAUGAAUCAGAUAUCCCCGAGGAGCUCUGUGGACACCAUCUCCCGCAACAGUCCCUGAAAAGCUAUAAUGACAGUCCUGAUGUCAUUGUAGAGGCUCAGUUUGAUGGCAGCGACUCAGAAGAUGGACAUGGCAUCACACAAAAUGUGCUGGUUGAUGGUGUUAAGAAACUCUCAGUUUGUGUUUCUGAGAAAGGAAGAGAGGAUGGUGAUGCACCGGUUACAAAAGAUGAGACCACCUGCAUUUCACAAGACACAAGAGCUUUAUCGGAGAAAUCCCUGCAAAGAUCAGCAAAGGUCAUUGCCUACAGAUUUUCUCCACGUGUCCAAAUGGCUUUCACCUGAGCUACUUGUUGAAGAUCUCGUGUGAUUCAGUCAGGACUGUAUUUGGUCAUUUAAUCAGAAAAGUUAGAGCAGAGAAUCAUAAAAAGUGAAUUAAAAAAAAAAAACUUUAAACAUAUAAAUACGAAUCCAUCUUCCUGCCUUUGGAUAAGGGGUCAAGGCCUUUUCUUUGAGUGUGGGCAGCUGGCUAAGAGUCUUGGGCAGGCUGGUGAAAUUGAGCCUGAAACAGAAGGAAUACUAACAGAGUAUGGCGUGGAUUUCUCUGAUUUCUCUUCAGAAGUUCUAGAAUGUCUUCCUCAAGGCCUGCCAUGGACAAUUCCACCAGAGGAGUUCAGCAAGAGAAGGGAUUUAAGAAAAGACUGUAUCUUCACCAUUGACCCAUCAACCGCCCGAGACCUCGAUGAUGCCCUCUCCUGCAAGCCACUCGCUGACGGCAACUUCAAAGUGGGAGUUCACAUUGCUGACGUGAGUUACUUUGUUCCGGAGGGAUCUGAUCUGGAUAAAGUGGCUGCCGAGAGGGCUACAAGCGUCUACUUGGUUCAAAAGGUGGUCCCCAUGCUUCCCAGGCUGCUGUGUGAGGAGCUGUGCAGCCUCAACCCCAUGUCCGACAAGCUGACCUUCUCUGUGAUCUGGACACUGACUCCAGAGGGCAAGAUCCUUGAUGAAUGGUUUGGCCGGACCAUCAUCCGCUCCUGCACCAAACUUAGCUACGAGCAUGCACAGAGCAUGAUUGAAAGCCCAACUGAGAAAAUCCCUGCGAAAGAGCUGCCCCCCAUUUCCCCAGAGCAUAGCAGCGAGGAGGUACACCAGGCCGUCUUGAAUCUCCACGGAAUUGCCAAGCAGUUACGCCAGCAGCGCUUUGUGGACGGCGCACUUCGUUUGGAUCAGCUAAAGCUUGCUUUCACUCUGGACCACGAGACCGGAUUGCCUCAAGGAUGUCAUAUCUAUGAGUACCGCGAGAGCAACAACAGGCCCUGCUGCGCCGGCACCCCCCGCCCCAAACAAGGAUGCUCAGUGACCUGGUGGAAUUCUGCGACCAGAUGGGGCUGCCCGUGGACUUCAGCUCCGCAGGAGCCCUCAAUAAAAGCCUGACCCAAACAUUUGGAGAUGACAAGUACUCACUGGCCCGCAAGGAGGUGCUCACCAACAUGUGCUCCCGGCCCAUGCAGAUGGCACUGUACUUCUGCUCGGGGCUGCUGCAGGACCCAGCGCAGUUCCGGCACUACGCGCUCAAUGUGCCCCUGUACACACACUUCACCUCGCCCAUCCGCCGCUUUGCCGACGUCCUGGUGCACCGCCUCCUGGCUGCCGCGUUAGGCUAUAGGGAGCGACUAGACAUGGCGCCCGAUACCCUGCAGAAACAGGCGGACCACUGUAACGACCGCCGCAUGGCGUCCAAGCGCGUGCAGGAGCUCAGUACCAGUCUCUUCUUUGCUGUUCUGGUCAAGGAGAGUGGCCCCCUGGAGUCAGAAGCCAUGGUGAUGGGCAUCCUGAAGCAAGCCUUCGACGUGCUGGUGCUGCGCUACGGCGUGCAGAAGCGCAUCUACUGCAACGCACUGGCCCUGCGGUCCCACCACUUCCAGAAGGUGGGCAAGAAGCCGGAACUCACGCUGGUCUGGGAGCCUGAGGACAUGGAGCAGGAGCCAGCACAGCAGGUCAGAACCCCUCUGUGUCCCAGCCCCCUAAGUCCUGAUGACCCCUCUCCUGCCUCCUGCGGUGCCCCUCAUUCCUUCAUCUGUGUCCCCUGGGCUCCCCCAGCACUGCAGCCUCCCGGGUGGGGUUUUAGGGCCCUCCCAGCUCACCCAGACCCCCUCCUGUGGGUCCUGCUUUCUGGCACCACCUUCCCUUCCUUGGGGGCAACCACAGUGGAGAGAGGAGGGGCUCUGCCUGUCCCGCUAAUGCAGGGGUGCUGGCCUUCUAGGGUCCUUUAGAGAACCUGAUGAAAGCUAUGAGUUUACACCCAAGAAAUUGUCUGGAACCGUUUUCACCAACAGUGUGCCCUGAACGCGGACCCAGGCCCUCAGGUUGUGUUUCAUAAGCCUUGGGAGCGCUCAGGAUGCAUCUGACUCCCCAACUCUGCCCUGACCCAGGGCAUUCUUCCUGGAGGGGGCCCCCAUUACAGACAGGCGAGCAGAGGCUUCCAGAGGCCGAAGGAGGGGCCAGGGGUCCUGCUGCAGGGAUGGAGGCAGAGCUGCGCCUCGACAUCAGGCCCUGCCAUCCUUGUCCCCUCACGGCUGGGCUCUGCACAGGUCAUCACCAUCUUCAGCCUGGUGGAGGUGGUCCUGCAGGCAGAGUCCACAGCCCUCAAGUACAGCGCCAUCCUGAAGCGGCCAGGCACCCAGGGCCACCUGGGCCCUGAGAAGGAGGAGGAGGAGUCUGACGGUGAGCCCGAGGACUCAAGCACCAGCUGAGCUCCACCAGCCGCCUGCCCCGCCUGCCCCGCCUGCCUGUCCCGCCACACUGGCUUUAGGACCUGUUGACACGGAGGGGGGUUUUUAAUUUGGUUUUUAACAACUCAGGGGUUUGUUUUUAUUUUUAUUUAAUUUUUGCAGCUCAACUUUUAAACAAACUGCAGGGGAGAGGGUGGGGCUGGAAGGAAGGCUGAGGCCUGGUCAGCAGUGACCCCAGCAGAGCAGGCCCCAGUCCUCCUGGGAGGCUGGCCCCCCUUUUUUCUGGGCCCUACUGCCCUCCUCUGCCCAGGAAAUGGGGGGGUUUCAGCAACUCAGUGUCACAGAAUAAAAUCAAGUGUGGAGUGCCAUCUGGUGUGUAGGGCGCCUCUGGGAAGCCUGGGCAGCAGAAUGCCCCUUGCACCCAGGGCAAGGGACCCAGUUCAGGCUUCACCCCUCGCUGCUGAGCCGAUGUCAACACCUGGAACUUUCCUGUCAGUUCCAACACGAUUCAGAGCUGGCUGCCUGGCAGAUGAUUGAUACUGGAGUCUCAUUCUGCCUGAUUAAAAAUGGAAUUAGUAUGCAA